CGGGGAUCCAGCGCUACCAUGAGCUGUGGUAUAGGUCGCAAAUGCAUCCUUGGUUGCUGUGGCUGUGGUGCAGGCGAGCAGCUACAGUUCUGAUUGGACCCCUAGCUCAGGAACUUCCAUAUGCCAAGGGUGCAACCCUAAAAAGCAAAAAAUAAAAAUAAAAUAACAAGUCACAGCCUGUGAGCAAAUAUUUAGUAUAUCUGAUUUAAAAAACUGCAUCCAGUAUUGGGUGUUAUAACUCGAUAAUAAGAGAACAAACAACCUACAUUUUUUAAUGGGCAAAAAUUUGAACAGUCAUUUCACAGAAGCUCUACAAAUGGCCAAUAAACACAUAAGAUGUUCAACAUCACUGGUCAUAAAAGAAAUGCAAGUUAAAACCGCAGUGAAGUAUCAGUGCACACCCAUAAAAUUAAAGACUCUCAUUAAAAAUGUUGGUAAGAAUGUUGAGCACCUGGAAUUCUCACAUAUUGUUGAUGGGAAUGGGAAGUGGAAUAAACUCUUUGAAAAAUUGUUUGACAAUUUCUUAUGAAGUUAAACGAGACACUUACCAUAUGACCCAACAAUUUGACUUCUAUACAUUUUGCCUAAAAUGAUUAGAAAAAUAUGUAAACAAAGACUUAUUCAAGGAUUCAUAACAGCUUUUUUCAUUGAUUGUCAAAAACUGAAAACAAUCCUAGUGUCCAUCAGCAGGUGAAUAGAUAAAUUGCAGUGCAUUCAUCCAAUGGAACACUUGUCAGCAAUAACAAGGAAGGAAAUGCUGAUAAGCGCAAUGAUGUUGAUGAAUCUCAAGAACAUUACUGAAUGAAAUGUCAGACACAAAAAAGUUCAUAGUAUGUGACUCCAUGGAUAUGAAACCUGAAGGAAAGAAAAAGUGAAGCUAAACUAUAGUGACAAAAAGCUGAUCACUGUUUGCCUAUGGUCCAGGGUGAGAGACUGACUAGGAAAGGGCACGAAGGACUUUUUUUAGCAUGAUGGAAAUGGCUUAUAUCUUUAUUAUGGUGAUGGUUUUAAGGGUGUAUAUAUUUGUCGAAAGUAAUCAUAUAUAUGCUUAAGAUGAGUAUAUGUUAAUGCAUAUAAAUUGUAACUCAUAAAGUUGAUUUUAAAAAACACUUGUGAUGUAGUUCUAUUUGUACAGGAAAAGUUUUCUAAAUGGGUAAUUGUGAGUGUGUGUGUAUAAUGUAUACACACAUAUAUAAUUAUGAAAGUUUCUAAGAGAAUAAACACCAAGGUGAUAACAUUGGUUGUCUCCAGGUAAGUGUGAUUAAUCAGUAGGCAUUAGUUUUCUUUUGUUUGCUUGUGUUUUCUGACACCCCCAUAAAUUGAUUUUCUCAUAAGAAAAAGAAAUUCAAACAUAAAAGAAAGCUUAAAUUUUCUUACUGGUCACUUAUGUUCUUACAGUAUAUUUUUAGACCUAGUGUUUCCAACUAUUACCCUAUUUGGAUAUACAGUUUGUUCUAAUUAAUCCCUUAUUAUUAUAUAUUAUGAUUAUUCCAGCUGUUUGCUGCUACAAGCAAUCUAGCAGAAAAAUAAUUGACUUUAAAUUCUAAAUGCAAAUUUAAAAAGCAAAAACAUGGAAAAAAUUAGAAAAAAAGAUAGACGUGAAAAGUUUACAAAACUGCCUGGCAAUGCACCAAAAAAUAUCAAUUUUCCAAAAAAUGAUCACUAACUGAUGAUGCUUAUUUUCAAAUCAAAUUACCGUGUUGUCCAGCUUGCUUUCAGCCAGGUUGUAUACUCCCUUUACAUUGUGGAACCUAGAAAACUAACCUAACACUUCAAUUUGAUAGAGCAAUACAGUGUCAUAUGUAAAGACAUAUGUACCACUAUUUUAAAACUUUAUCAAAGUAACUAUACUAGGACUUUUUUUGGUUCAAGUGACAGAAACCCAACUGUAACUUAUGCAGAAAAGGGAAAUUUUUAGGAAGCUACGGGGAAAGAUGAUUCAAGGAAAAGGUACUUAACUAAAAUAGGGAAAGUGCUAUGUAUGUAGUUAGCUGAAAUGGAGCCAGGAAUUCACACGUCACUGGAACACCAUUUUAAAAAAUAUGUACGUCACUGUCUUUCAUUAUAGACUAGUUCCUUUCUCAUAGCAGGAGACGUGACCACCAAUGGCAGCCGAGAACCUCCUCCUGUUUUGCAUCACCAAAGCAGAGCCAGUCUUCUUUUUCAGAGUUUGAAAAGACAUCAUUGAAGGAGUAUGAUGGACCCUUCUUGGUUCAGGUGCCUUCCCUGAAAGUAGUGAAGCAAGUCGGGAGGCAAAGCAGUAUCGUUUGCGGGGCUCAGGUUGGCUCCCAUCAACUAUGGGCAGGAUCCAGGAUCAACAGCAGCAGGAAUCAGUUGGGAGUGAGGAGUCCUGGGUAUACAGAAAAUAAGGAGGAAGCAGUUCCCAGAAGAAGGUGAGUUGGAAAGAUAAAGUAGUGUCCUCGCCAGUUAUGAAAUGAUCCCUGGAGUUCCCUUGUGGUGCAGCAGUUAAGUGUCUGCUGUCACUGCAGUGGCCCAGGUCACUGCUGUGGUGUGGAUUCAGUCCCUGGCGCAGGAACUUUCACAUGUUGCAGGCGUGGCCCAAAAAAAGAAGAUCCUUAAAACUUACACUCAAGAUGCCCUGGCAGACAAACCGUCCCUUACCAUAUUGCUUCCAUUUCCAUAAUACAUCUUGCUAGUAUCUAUUUAUAGUCUACCUCGUGCAAGAGCCUAGGGGUAAAGAAAUGAAAUCGUGAACAGUCUCAUACCCUUUGACUUGUAUAACUCUGCAUUCCUUGAUAUUAAUAUUGUCAGACCUGACUUGCUUAAUACUUACAUUUGAAUAAUCAUAUUCUACCCAUAUUUUAGUUUUGAAUAUUUUAUUUCUGUUUGUCUCAUAUACAUAGAAACCUUGGAUUUAGGGAUUUUUCCCCUCGUAUCUAAGCGCAUUGGCCUUUAAUAGUGUAUUAAAUUUUUUUAAGUCUUUAUAAAGACAACUGAGGUUGUUCUUGUUAAACCUUUAUUAAAUAGGCAUAUAUCCUUUCUGCCUUCGUUUUCUUUUUUUUAAAAAGGUAGUUGUUAUUCCUUUCCCCUUCUUCAUUCUUUUGAUCUGCAUUGAUGUAUGCCAUUAGCCUGUUAUUUACAAAUAAUUUCUUUCAAACAUUUUAAUCUUUUGAUGUCAGUUUUGACAAGAUACUUGCAGUUGUUUAGACUUAAUACAAUCAACUUGUCUCACUGUUGCCUACAAGUUCUUGUUUGCUGUUCUUGAGUUCCUCCUUCACACUCAUUAUCCUCUUCCUAUGGACACACUUUGAGUAACAUUUUUUUGGAGUAAAUACAUGCAUUUGCACAAUUCCCAUCGCCUUCACAUAUAAAUAGCUUGGUUAUAUUUAAAAUUCCUGAAUCAUAUGUGUUUUUUCUUUCAAACCUUUGCAAAUAGUGUGUUAUCAUCUUCUAUCUUUUUCCAGGAAAUUUUUUGUAUAGAAUGUUCUGGGCAAAAUAAGAUAUAAAAGAUGCUCCAGAGAAAAGGCUUCCAUGAUCACAUCAGUGUGGGAAAGGAAAGGUACCAGGCAAUGACAUGUCAUAAAAACCAGGAGACAUCCUGAGGGAUGAUGAUGGUUUGACUUAUUUCCAGAUGAUGAUGGUUUGACUUAUUUCCAGUGUAUCCAGCCUAUCUGACCACAGAAAUAUUGAGAGAGAGCUAAUGACCAAUAAUAUGUUUAUAGUUAAUAUUUGUUGAGAAGUUACUAUGAGCGAGGCACUGUUCUAGUGUUUAAUCUAUGGAUAUCAACUCAUUGGGUCCUCAUAGCAACUCUCUAUGGUUGAUAGAAUUUUUUUUUUUUUUUUUUGUCUUUUUGCUAUUUCUUGGGCUGCUCCCACAGCAUAUGGAGGUUCCCAGGCUAGGGCUCUGAAUGGACCCCUAGCCUGGAAACCUGCAUAUGCCACGGGUGUGGCCCUAAAAGACAAAAAGACAAAAAGAAAAAAAAAAAAAAGAUGAGAAAACUGAGGCAUGAAGAGUUUGAGAAAAUAAGCUGGAAAAUGGCCAAGCAGACAGUUCCACAUUACUCACAGCCCUGACAGUUACAGGUAAGGGCACAAUAAAGGCAACUUCUCUACCUGUCCCAAGUCUGAAAAACAUAACAAAACAUCUAGUUGCACCAAAAAGGAAAAGGAACUUUCCACCAGAUAGACUCUGUAACAGAAUUUGCUGCUGAAUUACUGCAAAGGCACUCUGGGAGGGUAAUCUGAUUAUCUUCAGUGCAAGUGCUCAAACUCUGCUGUUGGCCAACAUCCAGAACCCAUCAUUGAAUACUCAUCACCUCAUCAAUUCAGCCUUCUCAACUGACGGGCAAAACAACAUCCAAAUAUUCAUUGCACAUCUGUGCUGGGCAGAUUAUACAUUAGCAAUUCAAAUCUGGCCAGUGUACCGGCCGUUCCUGCAAAUGUGUCUGUUUGGGUGAGAUGCCUUGUUGUCUGGGACGGAUAAUAAGGUAACUCGGUCUAAUCUUGAAGAACAAUCAACCCAUCUUGUGAAGGUGACUGGCUGUGUGUGUUCUUGCCCUGGCAGUGCUGGAACAAUGGCCCCAUAAUGCACUCGACUCAGCUGGCAAUGAAGUCCCAUCCUGAUUAGUAGCCGUGGCUGGUGUCAAUCACCACAGCAUGCACCAUUGUCCUCUGGUCCCCAACACAGUUUAUUUACAGGAAAACAAAGGCUUUGGGGGGCUAUGGCUGCUUCCCAGAGAUUGCAAAAUAGAUUGAGCUGUCAAGCACACAAAGUAGAUGAAGAUUAAUGAGUUGUGCGGACAAUAAAUAUGAAGAGAUGACCAUGAAUAUGCUAAUGAGCAUUAUCCAUAUACACCGUAAUUGCUACCAAAAUUAAAAGGUGGCAUGAAGAAGAUGGGUCACGAGGUGACAGGGAGAUAAUCUUAGAUUCUUGAGAUGCUCACCCCAAAUAAGACCCUCUACAGGUUUCUUUUCCCCAAUUAAACCAUCCCCAAACAGCAUUGUUCACAAGCUGUCUGAAUAGACGCCUUUUAAACAGGGAUGUAAGGAGUGGUAUGAGGGGGAAGCUGGAAAAGUUACUUUACGAAAAGGUGUAAUUAGAAGAAGAAAUGUGUUUAUCAAAGGCAAGAAGUGAUCAGCUGUCAGGCUUCCUCCCCUUCCCCAGGGACAGAACUGAUGAGGAUGUCACUUCAAACUUCAGGCCACCACCACAACCCCAGCGCCACAAGGACUGUUAUAACUAUGACAGCGUUAUUUAGAUCACCUUUUAAGGGGGAGUGAGUGAUUUUUCAGGGUAUUCUAAUACUCUGAUGACUUUUUUAGAAUAAACAAAUUUGAAGAACAUAAUGUUUAAAGGCAAGUGAAAUUAUUUGAUUUUGGAAAAUCUGUGUCCUGCAGAACCAUGACAUGGCCGUGGCAUGGCUGAUCCCCACACAGCUUCGCAGCCUCCAUGAGGCAGAAUGGUGUCCUCUGACCCUGCUCGCCCCCUCUCUUCCUUUCCACCCUUCUGUCUGGGGAUGGCAGUGAAGUUAGCAUAAUAGCAUACUGAAGCAAUGCAGUGAGAGUGUGUAUGAACAUGAGAGAAAAAUUUUUCUUAUUUCCUAUGUUUUCUCUUCUGGAGGACCGGGGACAAUGGGCCUUGUCCUCCAAAGGUCUAUGGAGCAUCACCCCAUAAUUGUAAGAACAUACCUUUGCUCCUUCAAGAUAGAGGCCAAGUAUGUAUUUCUUGCCCUAUACCAGAUGAAGGGGAGCAGGAUGAAACCAGGGUCCAAGAAUAGGGCAGAAGGGUGGAAGAGAGGAAGGAAGGUCAGAGGAAGAAGGGGUCCCAGAGACUCUCUGAGGCUGACUCUACAUAGACUGAAAACUGCUUACCAGAUUUCAGGAUAAAGGGAAUUGUAUACAAAUGUAUAAAACAACCUCAGUGAAAGGGUGGGAGAAAAAGGUGCCACCCUAGUUAACUUUGGAAAUCAGUGGAGUCUGCAAAAUUAAGGACACAUAAGAACUUUACUGUAGUUGACAAAGUUGUUCCCACAGGUAAUUUUGGAGGUGAACAAUUCUGAAACCAUUGGAAUUGAACAGUUGAGUAGAUGAAUGGCAGAUGGUGGAGCCAGGUGUGUCCUUGACGGAGUGGGAGUUUUCAGGUAAGCAAGGGGAAAUGGCUUAGAAUGAUCAAUGGUAAUAUGGUCGGAGAUCUCAGUAUGAGAUCAUGUUUAACUUAAUAUAGACACAGAUGGCUACACAAAAAUAUUUAUAGAUAUGUGUAUAUAUGUAAGUUAGUGUACACACAUAUAUUCCCUGGCCUUCUCAGCUGAGAGGGCCUACAGACUGUCAACAAUGACUCAAGAGCAAAAAGCAAACCCCACACCAACCCUUAGUUUCUACUACCAUUCUCCAGUAAAAGAAAGGGUUCAUAGAGAAAUGGCUGAGCCUAAA
This 6393-nucleotide long non-coding RNA is filed under the name Sus scrofa (pig). RNAcentral describes it as "lncRNA (ENSSSCG00055027875.1)". Lineage: Eukaryota; Metazoa; Chordata; Mammalia; Artiodactyla; Suidae. The record is from RNAcentral.